GAUGAACGCUGGCGGCGUGCCUAAUACAUGCAAGUCGAGCGACCAGACGAGGUUCUUGCUCCUCUCACGUUAGCGGCGGACGGGUGAUUCACCCGUGCAUACCCUACCUUUAAGUCUGGGCUAACUUCGGCAUACCUGAUCUCAUACCCGAUAAUAUAUUGAACCCCAUGGUUCAAUAGUCAUCGACGUUUUUGCUGUCACUUUUUCAUUUUUCCUCGCCGCAUUAGCUAGUUGGUAAGGUAACGGCUUACCAAGGCAACGAUGCGUAGCCGACCUGAGAGGAGGAUCAGCCACACUGGAACUGAGACACGGACAAGACGCCUACGGGAGGCAGCAGUAGGGAAUCUUAGGCAAUGGGCGAAAGCCUGACGGAGCAACGCCGCGUGAGGGAAGAAGGUCUUCGGAUCGUAAAACUCUGUUAUUAGGGAAGAAAAAAUGUGUAAGAAAAUAUGGAGGGGAUGACGGUACCGAAAGAAAAAGCAACGGCUAACUACGUG
Molecule: ribosomal RNA, 497 nt
Filed under: uncultured bacterium
Lineage: Bacteria
Description: partial 16S ribosomal RNA
Rfam family: Bacterial small subunit ribosomal RNA
Source: RNAcentral